RNAcentral lists this long non-coding RNA (943 nucleotides) under Nicotiana benthamiana. RNAcentral describes it as "long non-coding RNA (NBEN_LNC035419)". Lineage: Eukaryota; Viridiplantae; Streptophyta; Magnoliopsida; Solanales; Solanaceae. The record is from RNAcentral.
GGAGUAAUCAUGCGACACAAAUGAAUCUGGUAUUCUCAUAAUGUGCAAAGAGAAGAACGAGAGACUGUAUAUAUAUAGAGUAAUAUAAUGCAGAACUUGUUCAUUGCACGCCUUAGAGAAGAACAUAGAGAGUUAAGGCAUAAUAUGUUAGACAGCAAAAAAUAAGCGGCCGGUCAAUUACCAACAAGCUUUGCCUGAAGAAGAAAGACGCAACAUAAUAGUAUUCGUACCAACUAUUGUUCAACACAACAACAACAACAAGAACAACAACAAAAACCAGUAUAAUCCCACAAGUGAGGUCUGGGGAGGGGAGGAUAGUGUGUACGCAGCCUUACCCCUGCCUUGAGAAGGUAGAAAGGUUGUUUCCGAUCUGUUGGUCAGCACCACGGCAACAAAAUAGCAUGUCCGAUGAUAUGGACAACUAACAGCAUCACAGACAUAAUCACAUAGUUGUAGAAUGUUAAAAAGAUCAGAAACUUUGAAAUAAGUAGAAUCAUAAAGCACUACAGAGUAAUCUAAACAGGUAGUUUCUCCUGCUUGGUGUCAAUAAUAGCAGCAUUCUUCCAGGCAGACACAAAGAAUUGCACACUAUAACCUUUUCUACUAUCAUACUUUGUGUUGUUUCUCUUCCUUUUAAAACUGACUCUCGUCGUUCAUAUCUUACCAUGUAGAAUAAGGAAUCAAACAACGAUAUUUUGUUAUCAUAGCCUGUAUCGAGACUGUGGAUUCCAGAGAUAGGAGUUGAAUGACAGUCACUUAAUUUCCUCGCCUCUGUAAUUACAGACGAUUGGCUUCUCAAACCGAUUUGAUUAUGAACAUUUCCCAGAUGAUAGCACAGCAUUCAAAAGAUCAAAUAGGAUCAAGACAAGACACGACAUGCUAAAUGAUAUUGCACAUAUUGUGGAAGCACUCUCUGUCUACAGGCUGAGACUUCACAUGUUAG